This 300-nucleotide unclassified non-coding RNA is filed under the name Clavariaceae sp. RNAcentral describes it as "partial contains small subunit ribosomal RNA and internal transcribed spacer 1". The stretch from base 1 to 46 matches the Rfam family "Eukaryotic small subunit ribosomal RNA", at positions 1786 to 1831 of the family's 1831-position model. Lineage: Eukaryota; Fungi; Basidiomycota; Agaricomycetes; Agaricales; Clavariaceae. The record is from RNAcentral.
AAGUCGUAACAGGAUUUCUGUAGGUGAACCUGCAGAAGGAUCAUUAAUGUGAUGGAUGUGCUAGUCUUGACUUCUCAAUCCUCCUUUGAAUGUUCUCAUUGCUUAGGUGGGGGCCUAACGGCUCGAGGAGAAAGGAAAUAAGAGCUCGUUCGGGCAUGCACUCCGAUACAAUCCAAUUUUCUUUAUACCUUGUGCAUCUUGGCCUGCUGAACAAGCAAAGGAUGUCAAAAUGAUAUUCUUGAUUGUUUUAUGUAGGAUGUUUUUGUCACAAUUUUUAAAGAAUGUCUUAUUAGCUUAAAA